Molecule: small nuclear RNA, 103 nt
Organism: Peromyscus californicus insignis
Lineage: Eukaryota; Metazoa; Chordata; Mammalia; Rodentia; Cricetidae
Source: RefSeq, a predicted model, not a curated record
AUGCUUCAGCAGCACAUAGACUAAAAUUGGAACACUACAGAGAAGAUUAGCAUGGUUCCUGUGCGAGGAUGACAUGCAGAUUUAUGAAGCUUUCCAUAGUUUC